AUCAUUGGGUUAGAUCUGCUCUCUUCGCAAGAAGAGGGUUUCCAUACACACCGUGAACUGUGGCUUCGGCCAUCACAAACUGUUAGUAAUGAAUGUAAUAUCAUAACAAAAACAAAACUUUUAACAACGGAUCUCUUGGCUCUCGCAUCGAUGAAGAACGCAGCGAAAUGCGAUAAGUAAUGUGAAUUGCAGAAUUCAGUGAAUCAUCGAAUCUUUGAACGCACCUUGCGCCCUUUGGUAUUCCGAAGGGCAUGCCUGUUUGAGUGUCAUGAAACCUCACCCCACUUGGGUUUUUGCCUGAGCGGUGGUGUAUUGGGUGUUGCCUUGCUAAAGGCUCGCCUUAAAGACAUAAGCACCUUGGAUGUAAUACGUUUCAUCCUUCUGGGUGGCUGAUAACCCCACAUAUUCAUGAUCUGGCCUCAAAUCAGGUAGGGCUACCCGCUGAACUUAAGCAU
RNAcentral lists this small RNA (455 nucleotides) under Cryptococcus sp. KWS1-4. RNAcentral's name for it is "eukaryotic LSU rRNA". The stretch from base 116 to 269 matches the Rfam family "5.8S ribosomal RNA". The record is from RNAcentral. Lineage: Eukaryota; Fungi; Basidiomycota; Tremellomycetes; Tremellales; Cryptococcaceae.